AAUUUGUAUCCCAUGCCUUUCACUCUUCAUCUCUUAAACGCAUGUUCUAUAAACAGCUGGGUUCUCUGCGGUCUUUGAAAUCCUUGAAAGUCUUUAAAUUUGAAUGCAGGUCUUUAAGGUCUUUGAAAAGUCUUUGAAUUGUGUGAAAAAGCGAAGAAAGUCUUUAAAUUCUUUAGUAUUUGAUUAUACGAUUUCCUAGCUAAUAAAAUAGAUUGAUUGAAGCAAGAUUUUCGCAAAUAUCGACGAAAAGGUGCAUUUUAGGAUGUGAUUUGACGGGACUAAUUACCGGGUAAAAAUGGUACUUACACUCGCAAUUUUUCGACAGCUGAUUGCUCUCAAAGGUCUUUGAAAAGUCUUUCAAAAUAGGCAGAAAAAAUCUUUGAAAGUGUUUGAAUUUUUUUGGUCUUCGAGACUACGAACC
Molecule: non-coding RNA, 421 nt
Organism: Paramuricea clavata
Lineage: Eukaryota; Metazoa; Cnidaria; Anthozoa; Malacalcyonacea; Plexauridae
Source: the annotation of a GenBank genome assembly